GAUUAUUUCACGGCCGCGGUACCCUAACCGUGCAAAGGUAGCACAAUCACUUGUUCUUUAAAUAGGGACUAGUAUGAACGGCACCACGAAGACCAUGCUGUCUCCUUUUUCUAAUCAGUGAAACUGAUCUCCCCGUGAAGAAGCGGGGAUUAUUUUAUAAGACGAGAAGACCCUAUGAAGCUUAAAAUUUUCAUCAACUGCCCCCCAUACACCACCUUAACCUGGCAGACCUGAUUACUAAUUUUUGGUUGGGGUGACCGCGGAGCAAAAUUAAACCUCCACAAUGAAAGGAUUAAACCCCUUAUUCAAGAAUCACACUUCUAAAAAUCAAUAUAUUGACAUAAAUUGAUCCAAACCUUUGAUCAAUGAACCAAGUUACUCUAGGGAUAACAGCGCAAUCCAUUUCAAGAGCCCCUAUCGACAAAUGGGUUUACGACCUCGAUGUUGGAUCAGGGUGUCCUAGUGGUGCAACCGCUACUAAAGGUUCGUUUGUUCAACGAUUAAAACCCUACGUGAUC
Molecule: ribosomal RNA, 518 nt
Filed under: Arthroleptis xenodactyloides (Chirinda screeching frog)
Lineage: Eukaryota; Metazoa; Chordata; Amphibia; Anura; Arthroleptidae
Description: partial large subunit ribosomal RNA
Rfam family: Bacterial large subunit ribosomal RNA
Source: RNAcentral